RNAcentral lists this ribosomal RNA (375 nucleotides) under uncultured bacterium. Its description in RNAcentral is "bacterial SSU rRNA". It matches the Rfam family "Bacterial small subunit ribosomal RNA", at positions 521 to 896 of the family's 1533-position model. The record is from RNAcentral.
UAAUACGUAGGGUGCAAGCGUUAAUCGGAAUUACUGGGCGUAAAGCGUGCGCAGGCGGUUUUGUAAGUCUGUCGUGAAAUCCCCGGGCUCAACCUGGGAAUGGCGAUGGAGACUGCAAGGCUAGAAUCUGGCAGAGGGGGGUAGAAUUCCACGUGUAGCAGUGAAAUGCGUAGAGAUGUGGAGGAACACCGAUGGCGAAGGCAGCCCCCUGGGUCAAGAUUGACGCUCAUGCACGAAAGCGUGGGGAGCAAACAGGAUUAGAUACCCUGGUAGUCCACGCCCUAAACGAUGUCUACUAGUUGUCGGGUCUUAAUUGACUUGGUAACGCAGCUAACGCGUGAAGUAGACCGCCUGGGGAGUACGGUCGCAAGAUUA